CAGCCGCCGCGGUAAAACGAAGGGUGCAAGCGUUAAUCGGAAUUACUGGGCGUAAAGCGCACGCAGGCGGUUUGUUAAGUCAGAUGUGAAAUCCCCGAGCUUAACUUGGGAACUGCAUUUGAAACUGGCAAGCUAGAGUCUUGUAGAGGGGGGUAGAAUUCCAGGUGUAGCGGUGAAAUGCGUAGAGAUCUGGAGGAAUACCGGUGGCGAAGGCGGCCCCCUGGACAAAGACUGACGCUCAGGUGCGAAAGCGUGGGGAGCAAACAGGAUUAGAUACCCGCGUAGUCCCUGUCUCUUAUAC
Molecule: ribosomal RNA, 301 nt
Filed under: uncultured bacterium
Lineage: Bacteria
Description: partial 16S ribosomal RNA
Rfam family: Bacterial small subunit ribosomal RNA
Source: RNAcentral